Molecule: ribosomal RNA, 253 nt
Filed under: uncultured bacterium
Lineage: Bacteria
Description: partial 16S ribosomal RNA
Rfam family: Bacterial small subunit ribosomal RNA
Source: RNAcentral
GACGAACCGUGCGAACGUUGUUCGGAUUCACUGGGCUUAAAGGGCGCGUAGGCGGCUCGCCAAGUCAGGGGUGAAAUCUUUCGGCUCAACCGGAAAAGUGCUUCUGAUACUGGCGGGCUGGAGGAGGGUAGGGGCGGAUGGAACUUCCGGUGGAGCGGUGAAAUGCGUAGAUAUCGGAAGGAACGCCGGUGGCGAAAGCGAUCCGCUGGACCCUCCCUGACGCUGAGGCGCGAAAGCUAGGGGAGCAAACAGG